GUAUUUACAUUUGUGAUUCAACAGAAGUUUAAUGGAAAAGCUAUGCAGUAGGAGAAUUUAAGCUGAUAGCCCAUGAGAGAUACAGAAACGGAGUUGUUUGACUACAUUGGUGAUGUUGCAACAUGUUGUGGCUGUAGAAUUUUUAUAUAGAUAAUUACCACAGUUUGGUUCUAGGAUGCCUACUGGUGGUUGUUAUCUGAUUUGUCCAAUGGAUGUGGUGUUUCAAUCCAAUGAGUCUUGUUUGUUGUCAAAGAUAUUACUGUUGGUUUAAAGGUGUAAUAUGUGAGGGAACCAGCAACAAAGGCGUUUCUGGAAGAACCCAUUGUGGAAAGCCAUCUUACUACCUUACUAUUUAACCAUUUCUUGUGUUGCUGAUGUAACAACCCUGAUAAAGAUUGAACUUCAAAGUGGCAGACUGUUGGCGAUGUUGCAGAAAUCUAAGAGGU
Molecule: long non-coding RNA, 446 nt
Organism: Daphnia carinata
Lineage: Eukaryota; Metazoa; Arthropoda; Branchiopoda; Diplostraca; Daphniidae
Exons: 4
Source: RefSeq, a predicted model, not a curated record